UCGGGAAUAUUGCGCAAUGGAGGAAACUCUGACGCAGUGACGCCGCGUAUAGGAAGAAGGUUUUCGGAUUGUAAACUAUUGUCGUUAGGGAAGAUACAAGACAGUACCUAAGGAGGAAGCUCCGGCUAACUACGUGCCAGCAGCCGCGGUAAUACGUAGGGAGCAAGCGUUAUCCGGAUUUAUUGGGUGUAAAGGGUGCGUAGACGGGACAACAAGUUAGUUGUGAAAUCCCUCGGCUCAACUGAGGAACUGCAACUAAAACUAUUGUUCUUGAGUGUUGGAGAGGAAAGUGGAAUUCCUAGUGUAGCGGUGAAAUGCGUAGAUAUUAGGAGGAACACCGGUGGCGAAGGCGACUUUCUGGACAAUAACUGACGUUGAGGCACGAAAGUGUGGGGAGCAAACAGGAUUAGAUACC
Molecule: ribosomal RNA, 415 nt
Filed under: uncultured bacterium
Lineage: Bacteria
Description: bacterial SSU rRNA
Rfam family: Bacterial small subunit ribosomal RNA
Source: RNAcentral